UGACCUGUGAUGAUACCUUUUGUGAAAAUACCAUCUUUUCGGGCCUGACUUGCAACCAGCCAUGUUGUCACUACAAUUUCUGAGGUUA
Molecule: small nucleolar RNA, 88 nt
Filed under: Oryza punctata
Lineage: Eukaryota; Viridiplantae; Streptophyta; Magnoliopsida; Poales; Poaceae
Description: Small nucleolar RNA SNORD96 family
Rfam family: Small nucleolar RNA SNORD96 family
About the family: snoRNA Z37 is a member of the C/D class of snoRNA which contain the C (UGAUGA) and D (CUGA) box motifs. Z37 acts as a methylation guide for 5.8S ribosomal RNA.
Source: Rfam by way of RNAcentral